This 4672-nucleotide long non-coding RNA is filed under the name Orbicella faveolata. Its description in RNAcentral is "uncharacterized LOC110048611, transcript variant X9". Lineage: Eukaryota; Metazoa; Cnidaria; Anthozoa; Scleractinia; Merulinidae. The record is from RNAcentral.
CUUCAAGAUUUACUUUCACCAGCGUGCAGAUGCUUUUGGCCGGCUCUUUUGCAUUUUGACCCUUUUGUCCAAGGCCUCAACAUGAAAUCCAUGUUAGCUGCAAUGAAUUGUCCUCCUGUUUGUCGCGCGCGCCGUCUCUGGAUUCCAAGUGUUGGCAUCCCAGAAAGACGUAGAUAAAAUGGGAGAGCUCAAGCUAAUAGUAUUCCUUGCCCGAAGAUAUCAAGUUUGGAAAGCAGUAACACAGAAGAAUAGAGCCUGUGGUAAAACCUCUGUCAGUUACAGCCCUUAGGCAGCCAUUCAUAAAAAAAAUGUUAAUAUUGGUGAAGGUGUGGUAGUCCUGGACCAUUGCAUUAGGAGGGUCUAAAAUUCUUCAAGUCUUAGUCUCAGAUUUUCAAUCAAGGGUCUCUGCAUCUAAAGAUGACUGUUUGAGGGUACAUGCACUUCCAUGACUUCUUCUCGAGUACAUACUUCCUCCAUAUUUGAGGACCUUCCAAUCAGCAUUUCAGCUCCUUUGACAGUAAGGCAGUUGGACGUUCGCUGUUGGGAAAGUUGUCAUGACAUGGUCUUCUCUAGCUGUUGCUGAUGUUGAAAUGCAACUGGAACAUCCUGUCAGUUCAUUUGUCAGAAAAACAAAGCUGCCUAAGGUGGAGAAAUAUUUUAGAAAACAUUUAAAAGGAUGAUGAUAACCAACUGUUAUCUCCACGUUGAUCAGUACUCUUGGACUGAGGAAUGAUGACACCAGGACACCAGCCAGGGAAACCUACCCUCAUUUCCAGGUACACUCUGGUAGUAACAGCAGCUGGACACCAGUGAGGACAGUUGAUAUUAUGACUGUGUUUUCUCAAACCUGUUGUUGGAACAUCCUUUUUAUUCACCUACGGACAAAGCUAUACUCAAGAUGGAGAAUCUUGUCUUGCUUCGAUGAGGCUGAAUAACUGAGCAGAGUCGGGCUGAUCUGGGUUGAAGUUUGACAAAUGUUCACUGCAGUGGAUUCUUGGUUUAGAGAAUUGAUGCUGAAGAAAUGGAGGAAAAUGAAUGAAAAUGAAAAAUUUCAGAAGGAAUAAUGUUACUGAAAAGUGAAGUAGACUUCAGAAAGAUGACUGUUCAAGGUUCAAUGCAGCUAUUAAUGGAGCUCUACAAUAGACCACCUCUCAAUGUUUCUCUUCCCCUUGGUUGGAUUCAACCUCCACACUUAAGGACGCCCAAGUUGGCAUUCCAGCUACGUUGACAGUAAGACGGCUGAACUCUUACAAGAAAAGCUGGUAUCCUGGGAUGUUCUCAAACUGUCACUGCAGUUGAAAUAUGACUGGAAUAUGCUGCCAGUUCACUGUAACACAUAACUGCUCAAGACAGAAUUAUUUUUAAUAUUUAGCAACUUUUAGAAAGGUUAAUUAAGAAUAAAUGUAAAUCUUAUUUUAAUCCUCCUUUCUGUAAUAUUUGUCAUUGUCAUCUAUAUGCUCUGAGAAUGUUGUGGUACAUCGUGAUAAUAUCUCAUCCAUGUUUGUAUUUAUUUCUAUACUGAUGCAACUUAUUGAGAAUUGGUUGAUCAAUCUUGUUCUUUCUCCAUAGUAACUGCAGUACUACACGCUAGUUGUAAAUUUUGAAAAUUUGGUGGUACUGUAUGUGAAGACAAUAUCUUCCACAAUCAUGUUUUUCCCUCUGAUAACUAAGACUUUUGCCUCAAUAUAUAUAUCAGGACUUAACUAUGGGUAAUGAAUACUGAAACAGUAUCAGAAAUCACAAUCAGUUUUGGCACUGAAAUUUCACACCUCUUGUUGGAUGACUGCUGUUAUAAAGGGGUGUAGCAGCUACAGAGAAACUCAACUCAGCAUUUUCUUUCUCUCAGGUGGAUGCUGUCAUCUCUUACUAAUACAAGAAGCUGUCCUCAUUUUCAGGUCCACUGGUGGCAAUUUAAAUAACAGUUGGACACCAACAAGGAAGGCUGACUUAUGUUCCUGAAGCUUAAACAUGAUUCAUCCUGCUGAUCCACUCAAAGCUGCUCAAGAGAGAGGAAUAUUUUUUGGAAGCUAAGUAGAUGUUGUUGUCAAUUAGGAGGACCCUUCCUGGUUUCUAACAGCACAUUUGUGUCAUGGAGUCUUCAGCAACCUUAAACUAACCUUCAUCUCCACAUAAGUAGACUUGGACUAACUGAGCACCAGCAAGAUGGAUGCUGUUAUCUGUUACAAUAACCUACCCUUGUUUCCAAGUACAGUGUGAUAACAACAAUGGCUUGACAGCAUUGAAUAGUGUUUCUCAAACUGUGGCUGGAACAUCCUGCUGAGUCACUUGAAGACAAAGCUGCUCAAGAUUGAGAAUCUUGUCUUGCUUCGAUGAGGCUGAAUAACUGAGCAGAGUCGGGCUGAUCUGGGUUGAAGUUUGACAAAUGUUCACUGCAGUGGAUUCUUGGUUUAGAGAAUUGAUGCUGAAGAAAUGGAGGAAAAUGAAUGAAAAUGAAAAAUUUCAGAAGGAAUAAUGUUACUGAAAAGUGAAGUAGACUUCAGAAAGAUGACUGUUCAAGGUUCAAUGCAGCUAUUAAUGGAGCUCUACAAUAGACCACCUCUCAAUGUUUCUCUUCCCCUUGGUUGGAUUCAACCUCCACACUUAAGGACGCCCAAGUUGGCAUUCCAGCUACGUUGACAGUAAGACGGCUGAACUCUUACAAGAAAAGCUGGUAUCCUGGGAUGUUCUCAAACUGUCACUGCAGUUGAAAUAUGACUGGAAUAUGCUGCCAGUUCACUGUAACACAUAACUGCUCAAGACAGAAUUAUUUUUAAUAUUUAGCAACUUUUAGAAAGGUUAAUUAAGAAUAAAUGUAAAUCUUAUUUUAAUCCUCCUUUCUGUAAUAUUUGUCAUUGUCAUCUAUAUGCUCUGAGAAUGUUGUGGUACAUCGUGAUAAUAUCUCAUCCAUGUUUGUAUUUAUUUCUAUACUGAUGCAACUUAUUGAGAAUUGGUUGAUCAAUCUUGUUCUUUCUCCAUAGUAACUGCAGUACUACACGCUAGUUGUAAAUUUUGAAAAUUUGGUGGUACUGUAUGUGAAGACAAUAUCUUCCACAAUCAUGUUUUUCCCUCUGAUAACUAAGACUUUUGCCUCAAUAUAUAUAUCAGGACUUAACUAUGGGUAAUGAAUACUGAAACAGUAUCAGAAAUCACAAUCAGUUUUGGCACUGAAAUUUCACACCUCUUGUUGGAUGACUGCUGUUAUAAAGGGGUGUAGCAGCUACAGAGAAACUCAACUCAGCAUUUUCUUUCUCUCAGGUGGAUGCUGUCAUCUCUUACUAAUACAAGAAGCUGUCCUCAUUUUCAGGUCCACUGGUGGCAAUUUAAAUAACAGUUGGACACCAACAAGGAAGGCUGACUUAUGUUCCUGAAGCUUAAACAUGAUUCAUCCUGCUGAUCCACUCAAAGCUGCUCAAGAGAGAGGAAUAUUUUUUGGAAGCUAAGUAGAUGUUGUUGUCAAUUAGGAGGACCCUUCCUGGUUUCUAACAGCACAUUUGUGUCAUGGAGUCUUCAGCAACCUUAAACUAACCUUCAUCUCCACAUAAGUAGACUUGGACUAACUGAGCACCAGCAAGGUACUUAAAGCUUUCUCUUGUCACUGGAACUUCGUUCCGAUGAACAGAGCUUCCAGAGCUCCUCAUGAUGUAAGUUAGUAGUUACUGGUAAGUGUAAGCCUGAGUUAAAUCUUCAAUCUUCCUUAGUUUCUGUUAUAUUUGCUAGUCAAGACUAAUACAAGUUCUAAAAAUUUUGUGGUACACCAAGACAAUCAAAUUUCUUUUGAAUUAUGCUUUAGAAUCCUCCUCCUCUGGAGCUAGCCUGUUGUUAGAAGCAGUGAGAAUGUGGUGUUUAGCUUAAAUGUAUUUGUCAUAGAGGUAGAAUCCUUUCCCUCUCCAGACUGAUUCCUUAAAUGUAGGCUGCACAAAUUUGUUGGUACUGACCAAAACAAUAUUACCUACAGCCUUUUGAUUUCAUACUGAUUAUCAUCCUAAAAUGGAAGUUUUAUUUAAUGGAAGUUUUAUUGUAGUACCAAAAAAAGUUUCCGAAUUAUGGCAAAGUGAAUGUAUCAAAACUUCCUACCUUGUUUAGAAAUACAGCAAAUUAGCAAGCACUUCUAAAUUUUACGUUUUUCUCAGAUGGAUGCUGUUAUCUGUUACAAUAACCUACCCUUGUUUCCAAGUACAGUGUGAUAACAACAAUGGCUUGACAGCAUUGAAUAGUGUUUCUCAAACUGUGGCUGGAACAUCCUGCUGAGUCACUUGAAGACAAAGCUGCUCAAGAUUGAGAGUCUGGUUUUGCUUGGGUGAGGCUGAGCAUACUGUUUGAAGUUGGGCUGAUCUGGCCUGAACCUGGACAAAUUUCUGCAGCUGUAGUAGAUUCUUGGUGCUUAGGAAAUGAAGUCAGACUGAAACAAAUAGAAAAGAAUGUUAUUUGAGAACAAAAUAACCUUCUGAUAAGGCUAUCAUGAUCAAGGAAGUUUAGUAAGCGAGGAGUGUAAGUAAUCAGGGCACAUAGAAAUUACUGCCAUCUUAACUGCAUAGCUUUUCAAACUUUAGACGUGCACUGUUAUCAACUGCUUAUUUCAAACAAGUUUGAUGGCAAAUUUUAUCAAUGGAUAUUAUUGGUGAUGUGAAAGUUGUGAUCAGCCGAGUGCCAUAUUAAAGCUUUAAAAAUCUAA